Triticum aestivum (bread wheat) is the source of this 5514-nucleotide long non-coding RNA. RefSeq lists it as uncharacterized. The record is from RefSeq and is a predicted model, not a curated record. The transcript has 7 exons. Lineage: Eukaryota; Viridiplantae; Streptophyta; Magnoliopsida; Poales; Poaceae.
CCUAACCUAAAUCCCAUCCAUCCGUCUCUGUGUUCGCCGCCGCCCCUCUCGCGCUACCUCCCCGCCUCAUCAUGCUGCUUCCCCAGCCCACGAUGGCGCCACGCUGGGAUGGAGAUCGGGGCUGAGGUGAGGAGGGCUGAGACUCCCUCGAUUUCUGUCUAGGGUUCCCUGCCCAUGCUGAUGCCUCGGCCACACGCCUCGCGCCGCCCAGCCCUGCCCGACGCCGAUGCCACGCCUCGCUCGCCUUCAUCGAGGUCGCCCAAUGCAGCCCAACCACGGUGUGCAUCGGCCACUUGGGCGCAUGGCCGCGGUAGUGUCGCAGGGGCACGUGUGGAAGCCGGGACGAGGACGGACACAUCCAGAUCAGGUGCUCGCGCCUGAUCUUGAUUAGUGUGGCCGCCCAAUCCAUCUCCCUCUAUUCCGUGGUCGACUCCAGCGGUGGUGAUGGGCUCAUCGACCAUGGCACAUGGGCGGCUUCCACUCAACGACCUCUGCUGCCUGCAACGUGUGGUGAUGUGCAUGCAUGACCGGCAGCCAUGGCAGAUCAUGUGGUAGGCAGCAUGCCGCGUUGGUCUGACGAUGUCAAGGACUGUACAGGGAUAUUAUUUACAGGGGAUGCCGUAUAUACAUGGAGAUUAUCAACCAUUGUUCACAUAUAACAGAUAUGCAACAGAAGAAGUUCCUCAAGUGCUACUCCAAAAAGUCCAAGCAAAAAGGAUCUUCCACUUUGCUCGGGGUAUAUACCUGCCAGGUGAAUUGGACCCAAUCCUCCACCCCGCCCUUGAGCUUCAGGUUGUAUACGGUCCCCGUCAGAAGCCCAGUUGCUAUAUUGCUCCCGUACCAUAGUCUCAAGCUAGCAAGCAUGUCAACUACGGCAAGACCAAAACUCUGAAUGUAGUACACAUGCAUCAAGCCUUGACAAGGAACCCCUGUGAAAAGUGAGGCAGCGGCGAAGCAGUAGCUAGCGUGGGGCGAGUCACGUCUGUGGUAUUGUAGGCAAUCAUCACCAUGGACAAGCUCGCUGGAAUCAAGUCAGGUGAUGAUAAAGACAGAAAAUGGUUUGUGCACAUGGCACUAUCGAUCGUGGAGGGAUCGACAAGGGGCCCGACUGUACUGUUUGGUACUGGAUGAGCCACUACGGGCAUUGACGGCAGUAGAACACUUUACCCCUCAUGCCCAGCUUCCAGUGGUCCACCGUGGGUGCUUCAGGCUUUGGUGAUUAUGACAAAUUAGCGCCGAGAUAUGUUGCAAGAAUCGUCAACAAGUGUUGUUUCCAUGGGAAGGCAUCGGUCAUGGUGCAUCUCUACUAAGGGAUAAACAUGAUGUGUGACUUGUUCCAUAUGGCUCGAUUGGAGUAUUUAAUUGUGACGAAGCUGUAAACUGGGCUUGGUCAGCAGAAAAAAUAAAUCAGAUAUAGCCACCAGCAUUUAACAUGGCCUUGUCAUCUCUCACCAUCAGAAGCAGAUUGAGUCUCUUGACAAGAUUAAUGUUGUUUACCGAAUGGAGGGAUGACAGUAUAUGCUUUCAGUUCAUUUAAUAGGUAUUUUUCUUCAGCUAACCAUUUCUUGUUUGAGACUCCAUCUUAUUGUAUUGCCAACUUUUUGAAAAAAAUACUGUUGUGCCCAUGCAUGCAUUUUUCAUGUUUUGAAUCAGUGUUACUGAAUAAUCACCAUUUCCUGCCCAUCGGCCACCGCUGGCCAGAGAACCACUAUCCCUUCAUUAGCACUUUUCCAGUCCAUUUGCAAAAUCCGAAUCCAGCAUUUCUGAAUCAUGCUUGGUGUGUGCUGGCGGUGGGCGAGGAACAUGGUGAUUUUUUAUCUGAAUCAAGGUGUAGCUGUCUUAAUCUUGUACAUGUUGUUCUCUGAAUCAUGUGGUAUUUCUAAGUGCUCUGCAUGUUUUGUGGUGCAUAGGGGAAGCGGAGGCGACGACAUGCAACUGUUCUCUUUACAUCUGUCAUGGUCCAAAGUCUAGGGAGAAGUAGGUUUUGCACUCGUAUUUGGCAGGAUGGAGAUGAAUUCGAGAGAGAUGUUGCUGGGAGUUGUACCGAUCAUUUUUAUGUCCUCCCUAUGUUAUGCCUUUGCACUGAUGUGUAAUUUUUUUGAGUGGGGGAUAGUGUAGCGAACACGAACAGAAAAAUUGGUAGACGUUGAGGAGAACAAUCUGAGUGAGCAACAUUAGUUGAGUAUUAAGAUGUAGCCUUACUUGUGCCUUUAGGUAUUUUAGACAAGCAUCAUACUCUGCCCGCAGCACGUAAGGGAAACCAAAAAGGAAUAAAAACAUUUGGGCUUCUUCGUAAUUUUCCAUUUGGUUCUAAGCUUUUCUAAAUGGCAAAAACAUUUCACAUAAAUUAAUAAAUAACCUUGCUGCAAACUUGAGUUGGUUUACAAUGAAGUUGGCAAGUACAUGUUCUUGUUGACUAAAUAUUUUUCAUAAAUAUGAGAGUAUGAAGAUAAUUUGUUCUUUCUUUUCUCUGUUCACAAUGGGAUAACAAUAUUUGUUAUAUUUCACAGUGUUACACAAUUUAUCAUAGGGAGGACAGACUAAUCUAAUGAUGUACAACAGCUUUGAUGUGUUGAGGAUCAUGGUGGUCUAUGGAUUCUGCACCUGGUAGUAGGCUGAGAAAGGUACAUUGUUUCUCUAACACAAUGAUGUUCAGAGCAACCGUCCACUAUGUGAGAUUUAGAAGUUGGUAUUGACGGCGGAUGCAUCCAUGUGCAAAUCUCCUGGCAUUGAGCGGACGGAUCCAAGGGAAUUGGGGCGGCCAGCCAGCUGGCAGUGCACGCAUGGGCGAUCACGACGCAACAAAGUUCUGGGUUUUAAACUGGGAGCGGACGGACGUGGCCCAAGGGAGAACAUGGGUGGGGAGCGUGCGGACCGUCGACGAAAGAGAACAACACUGGGUUUGAUAAUUACUCAACAAAUCAGAGAUCGAUCUCUUUUUUUAGAUGCAAAUAUUUUUUAAUUUAAUAUGUCCACUCCCGUUACUAUGUGACAUAUUUAGAUGCACUAGGUUUCGCAUUAAAAAAUAUGCUUACUGUUUCUUCCUUCAGUUUUGGUGAACUUUCUGUUAGCAAGAUGUGCAAGAAAGCUAUUUCAUUCUGGAGACAUAAGUCGUCAACUUUCUCAUAGAGUCGUACAUAAACUGUUCUUUUUUUGAGAAUGAUGAACUACCCCCAUGUGAGUUUCUUGAUCUUUCAUUCCUGAUUUCACACUAUUUUAUUUUCUUACAUGUAUUAAUCCUCGGUUGUAGCUAGCUUAGUUCGCGAGCAUUUCGUUGUUGUUUUGUUUUUCUCUUAGGCAUGAAGCUUUGGCUGUACCUAGCUCGGUUUGGAAUUGUAACAUCUUGUAGUGCAUUUCCUCGAAUUAAUUUUUUUUAUGAAAUAUGUUCUUUCAUUGGCAUUCAGGUAAAACAAACAACAAAACAUGUAUCCGAAGCUUUCUGAAAACCCGUACAAUAGUGUAGUGGCCUCAUGGUCUCACUAAACCCCUUCUUGCAGACGCCUCUCUUCUAACUAUAUUGUUAUUUUUGUGCACAAUUGAAAUUGAGAUGCAGGUCUAUCUAAUGCUUGUUGUUGUUGUCAAAGGCGGAGCGAAGUCGAAGACGAAGCCUCUUGAUAUAUGUUUAGUGGUGGGUAUUUAUAUUUUCAAAUAGCCAGCACAUCACCGGCGAGGGGGGAAUGAAGGAGAGAGGGAAUUGAGGACAAAUAUUCAUCGAGCUACAGUACAUGCAUAUAUGACUCGUUUUUUUUGUUUUUUAUAAGGUGUCCUCAUUUUGUUGCUUCUGCGUAGGUUUGGAUAUUUUCCUUCAACCACAAGGCCCAUCCAGUUGUGAGCUACGACAAAUUUGUUAGAGUUGGAGGAGAAAACAUUGCACAUCAGAGCUACGUUGAUUGUAGCGAGGCAACCAUUAAUUGGGUAUGAUCAUACGAGGGAGGGGAGAAUAGAGGAACAUUAAUAUUUUCAUGCUUUGGAUGAAAAUCUCAAUUCAUAGUUUCUCUGUACGUGGCAACACACGAGCAGUACUGGUGGGCUCACGAUGGAAGUAGCGCUGGCAGAAUCAGUAGGCACUCUAUGGGAAGGCGGUUGUCGCCCUUGUCCCUCGGUCUCCGAAAGGAUUUGCUAAUAACAACAUAAUAAUUAGUACCACCAGUAACCCUUCUAUUUACCCACCUUCAGUAUAAUUGUAGAUGGCAUUUGGUUGUUCAUGUAUACUCAGGAUUUAUGGGUUGUCAACAGCCUCAUCUGAAUGCUUGAUGUACUUAUAUUUCUUUCUUUUCAAUGCCCAUUUCAUCUGAGUAGGGUGAUGAGGGAAAGAACAUGUCGUGUUGAAAGUCAGUUUAGUGCAUCAAGGACGGGAAGUUCUGAGAAUUGCAAGAGGUGAUUGAGGAUGGUUAGCUAUUGUGGCUCAUCAUAUAGUGGUGGAAGAUGAGUACAAGCAUAUAAGCUUAUUAAAAAUUUACAGUUCCUGACUGCACGAGACAUUUUUUAGCUGAACUUCUCAUCUGACUAAUAAUCAUACAACGUAAAGUAACCUUUGACCAUCCUUCUGAAUUAUACUGCAAGUCUGGAAGGCGAUAUUUUGUUGAGCAUGUAGACACAAGUUAUACCUUGCGAGGCACAAGCUUUUUCUCCUUGGCCUCAUGGAGCUAAAUUAUGAGCAUUACCUGACAAGACACAAUCAGAGCAUCCCCAUACUCUAGCUAAUUAAAGUUCGUUCUCAUCUUCUAUUUCACACAAAUCAAUUGUGUCUGCCCCAGAUCGUUUGGCAUUAGAUGAUUGUAAGGAUUUUAAGUGACUUUAAUAAGUUCAUCUUCCGGAAUGAAUCUAUCAGUUCAUCACACACAUGUACUCUUGUACUAAAAACAGAACAAUCAAAAGGUAUACACGUCAGAGCCACAGAGGGGCACCUAGCUAGACAGGGGAUUACAGAAUAUCCAAAAUAAGUUUGCAACCGGGAUGAAUCGAGAUGUACGCACAUGCCAUGAGAUAGGGUGGAGAAGAUCGACGAAAGAGAACUAUUGGACAUGGUGGAGGGGCUGCAGUAGUCCAUCUGCUUGCCGGCGCUGUCGAAUAUGAGGACGCCAAGGUCCGCCUCGCAGAGCAUGGCGAGCUACUGCACCUUCUUCAACAGCCCGGCUCUGCUCUUGCCGAAGGUGGACUGCCUGGAGACGUUAUUGGACCGUCCCAACAGCUACGUGGCCGGCGUGACUAGCAGCCGAAUCCUGCUGCUCACCGCGGCAGAUGUGCGGUCCGGCUGCUCAUCGGAGAAGACCCUCCCUCCAGCUACAUCGCCAGCGCAAAAAAUAACGGCGAGGCCUUCUGCACCUCCCGGUCGGCGGCCGGAUCUGGCUGCUCAUCGGGCCAGAUAUGCAGUCCCGCUGCUCACCGGAGAUAUCGCGAUGGAGGGGAUGGGGUGCGGCGGGAAGUGGAGGGGGCGGGAGGUGGUAUGGACCGUGGAGGGGAUAUAGCAGAUCCAAGCCAUGGCGGUGAUCUAUAGCUGCAGCAUCGCCGCAG